ACUAUCUGUCCACCUGUGUCUAUGCCCGUCUCUGUCCACUUGUCCAUCCCUCACUCCGUCUAUCCGUCUGUUGAUCAAUAUGUCUGUCUGCCUGUUUAUCCAACCUGUUCUCCAGUCAUUUUUUCCAAUCAGCCUUUUUUUUGUGGCUUUUUCUCUGCCCACUUUUCACUAUUGAUCUACCUAUGGAACAUAAAUAUUCCUGUUUCACUCAGGGAUUGUGC
Molecule: non-coding RNA, 221 nt
Organism: Pelobates cultripes (western spadefoot toad)
Lineage: Eukaryota; Metazoa; Chordata; Amphibia; Anura; Pelobatidae
Source: the annotation of a GenBank genome assembly